Molecule: ribosomal RNA, 253 nt
Filed under: uncultured bacterium
Lineage: Bacteria
Description: partial 16S ribosomal RNA
Rfam family: Bacterial small subunit ribosomal RNA
Source: RNAcentral
UACGUAGGGUCCGAGCGUUGUCCGGAAUUAUUGGGCGUAAAGAGCUCGUAGGCGGUUUGUCGCGUCUGCUGUGAAAUCCCGAGGCUCAACCUCGGGUCUGCAGUGGGUACGGGCAGACUGGAGUGCGGUAGGGGAGAAUGGAAUUCCUGGUGUAGCGGUGAAAUGCGCAGAUAUCAGGAGGAACACCGGUGGCGAAGGCGGCUCUCUGGGCCUUACCUGACGCUGAGGAGCGAAAGCGUGGGUAGCGAACAGG